ACGGUGACUCAGGUGAAGUCUGAAAGAGCGAGACAGGAGGAUACGCCUGCGCUUCAAGGAAAGCUGCUAGCAGAGAGCGCUGGCACAGUACUUGUGGCGCCCACCUGUAGCCACAGCAAACUUUCCACCCCUUCUGGGUUUGAAGAAUCGGGUCCCUUACGCCACCCUCUGGCCCAAACCGACACGGCCGAGAGCUCCGCACCUGAAAACCCUAAAACCCCAACCUGAUCUGUCCCAGAGGGGCUGCCUGCGCCCGCGGCCGUUCGGGUUUGCAGUAUGGAGGGUCGGGGUUGCCAGCUAGAGAUUAGUAAUUUGCAAAGAAGAGCGGGAAGACACCGUUCUCUACCCUUUCCAACUUCAGCUCCCAACUUUACCAGACACGCAGCCGCUGCCCUCCAGUUCCCCCGCGGCACGCGCCCGGCCCCGCGGCCUCUCCUACGCGGCCCUUGGGGAGGGGGCUACCCAAGGUCGGCGGAAGCCCCUCGCACUUACAGCCAUAGCGAGGUCUCUGCAAAGACGGCAGUUCUUCAUGGGGCAUCCUGCGCGCCUCCGGGGGCCCCCCCGGGGCGCGCCCCCCACGGCUCCCCUCGCUGGCCAGGCUCGCGGGCUUCGCGCCCCGCCGGCGCGCUGGGAUCCCGCCUCUCUCUGCCCUCGCCUCCCUGCUCCGAGAUGGGCGACCCGCUCCCUCGGUGCUUCCACCCGGGAGCCCGCUGCAGCCGCCGCGCGCUGACACUGGAGCAAAAGUGAACUCUCCUCCCUCGUUCCCUCACCGGCCGCCGCCUCCCCCAGCAGGUUUCCUUUCUCCUCCAGCCCGGCCCCGUUAUUCACCGCGGUGGGAGCGCGCGCGCCGCGGCGCAGCGACCCCUACCGCAUGCCGGGCGCAAAGCCCAGACCGCGUGGACCCGCCCCUGCCCGGCCCGGGGUAGGAGGAAGGGGUUGAGCAGCCAGCAGGGCACGGACCCCCUGCAGCUGAGGCCCAGCGCACAGCUGGCGGCCUGGAGAGUGAAUUCUACAAUAUCGUGAAAAGCACUGAAUACUUGUGGGGAGAUAAAAUUAAGCAAAGUAAAAGAGUUCGUGAAGUCUGGCAUGGGGGUACACACCUGUAAUCACAGAGAUCUGGGAGGCUGAGAAUCACUGGAAGAUGAUGUUGCCGGCAUUCUAAACCUCUCAAUAUCCCAGAAGAUCCAAGCUCCCUUUUAUUUUAUUUCUAAUUUUAUACUAUUUGUAAGCAAAUAAAAAAAUAAUACUUUAAAAUCUUA
Long non-coding RNA from Sciurus carolinensis (gray squirrel), 1259 nucleotides. RefSeq lists it as uncharacterized. The record is from RefSeq and is a predicted model, not a curated record. Lineage: Eukaryota; Metazoa; Chordata; Mammalia; Rodentia; Sciuridae. The transcript has 3 exons.